AUUUAUAUCAAAGUCUAUAUAAAUACAUACAAUUAUCACAUUGUCGACUAAUCAUGAUAGAUAUCAUCAGACGAAUUAGACCCGCAAUUGGUUUUAGAAAAAUAGUUAUACGUUUGGUUUCCUUAUCAGGUACAUGUAUGUACAUACAUAUAUAAAACUCUGAUCUGCAAAAUCUAAAGAGCAAUAUUUCAUUACUACAUCGAUACAAUCUGCGCCUGUAAUAGAUUGACCAUUGCAUAAAUAUAAAGCCAACUAUAUAUACACACAGUUUACAUACAUAUGUAUGUAUAGUAUGCAAUGGUCAUUGGCGUUUAAUCGCUUUUUCAAAGAUAACAAACACAUUACCAGCCAACAAACAGAGGCAAUUAGUGAACCGAUACUCAAAUUUCCCCGGGAUUUUCCAGACCGACCAAUGAAUGAAAAUGAGGCAACAAAAUACUUACAGUCAGGAAAACCAACACACGCGCGCUAAUGACACAAAUCCGUCUGGGUCCGGGACACUCGGAGCUCCUGGGCAAUGCUAAUUGCCUUGAGUCACAUGCCGCAAUGGUCGACAAAGAUGAGGUUUAGAAAAGGAAAGGAAACGAAAGGAAAUGAAAGGAAGUGGAAGUGCACUUAACAUUUUUCAGGAUAAGCGAAAAUAUUGCUUAGCAAAAUAAGGAAAAUAGUAUGCAAAAAGCCGAUAUUCUGUAGUCAAAUUACCGGAAAUCUUUUUUUUUCCCCUUUUGAGCUGACUUAUGACUAAGGGGAAUGUAAGCUGAUGAUCAUGAAUUUAUGUAAGCCCAAUUCGAUACGAUCCGGACCGACCAACCAGCACUUCUGACCGUACCCCCCAAAGUGUCCUUUUGCGGUUUUGUCGGUGCCAUCUCUCAUCUCAUUUUUGGUCCUAGGCCCAGACAAUGGCAAACAAAUUUUGUUUCUGUGAGCACAAAACAGACAAUAAUCAUAACAAUAAUUUCGAAAAACUGCAUAGACUAUAUAACAGUCGGCGGUCGAUGUGCCAGAGUGAGGCCAUAAACCUCACAUCUCAACGACAAGCAGCCCAGCCAACUUGUUGUUUCCCAUUGUUCCCAGCGAAGGAUAGCAGCAUCCCUGGGUCUGGGACUGCGACUGCGACUGCGACGGGGCUUCGACUGGGACAAAGUGUGAUGAUUUUUAUGACUUGCCUGUGAAUUUUUGCCGACACUGACGCCGAAAUGUUCACCGAGGCUGCUGGGACCCAGCACAAGUGGCAACAAGUGACAAGUGGCACAGAGGCGACAGUCGAUUGGCGCCAGUUUGAUAUCCUUCUAACGGUUCUCCGAGCCGCCAGGCAAUUUGUUAGGCCCCUUUCCCUGGCCUCAAGUGUCGUUUAAACGUUUGAUUAGGACAAACAUAUCAAAGAGGCGGAUCUCUGAGAUCUUUCAAGAGAGAAAGAGAGACAGAUCGAAAAAGAGACUCUUUCGGUCUCUAGGAUGUAAAAAACGGUAGCGGUGGCAACUUGUACCAUGCUGAUUAAAGAUAACACUGUCAAGUACUUCAACAGAUGUUUUAAGGACCACGAUCAUGUUAAUAGCGGUUUUUGUAUUUCAAAUACUUAUUCUCACAAUCAGAUUUAACAUUUGAGAUUUUGGGUUUCAACUUAACUAUCUACAUACACAGAUCUAAAAUGUAAAAUUGUUGAGCACUAGAAUAGUCUGGAAAAACAUUAAAUAUUAAUAUUUAGGAUCCCCCUGUGAAAGGCAUAGGCAGGUAUGCGAAAUGAUUGCACUGUGUUGCCAAUCAUUUUUGCCUCCCCCAAGCCGAAAUUUGUUUUUGCUUUCGAUUACAUUGCACCAUUUUAUCAAAAAUAAGGUGAAAUAAACAUAAGACUCGUCUCAUUAA
Long non-coding RNA from Drosophila willistoni, 1863 nucleotides. RefSeq lists it as uncharacterized. NCBI's taxonomy places the organism in Eukaryota, Metazoa, Arthropoda, Insecta, Diptera, Drosophilidae. The record is from RefSeq and is a predicted model, not a curated record. The transcript is spliced from 3 exons.